This 253-nucleotide ribosomal RNA is filed under the name uncultured bacterium. RNAcentral describes it as "partial 16S ribosomal RNA". It matches the Rfam family "Bacterial small subunit ribosomal RNA", at positions 524 to 776 of the family's 1533-position model. The record is from RNAcentral.
UACGGAGGGUGCAAGCGUUGUUCGGAAUCACUGGGCGUAAAGCGCGUGUAGGCGGCCUCGUAAGUCUGGUGCGAAAGCCCGGGGCUUACCCCCGGAAGUGCACUGGAAACUGCAAGGCUUGAGUACCGGAGAGGAGGGUGGAAUUCCUGGUGUAGCGGUGAAAUGCGUAGAUAUCAGGAGGAACACCGGUGGCGAAGGCGGCCCUCUGGACGGAUACUGACGCUGAGACGCGAAAGCGUGGGGAGCAAACAGG